GUAUGUUAUCGAUAAACAAGUCUAAAAUGUAAAAUGUGUUUUUAGAAUGUUACAUUGUGCCUUUUGUUUCGAAACGGGAUUGCAGAUACAGCUAUUGUUUAGAUGCACAUUACUAUCACUAGAAGCUACGUUCUUCAUAUUGAUUGCACCGUACAUAUUGUCUACAUAAUACUCUGUGUUGUUGUUAUUGUAAUUUGUUUAGCCACCCUCAUCUGUUCAUUUUGUUUUAUCACUUCCAUAUUUCAGAUGAUGCCGAUGCAUUGCAGUGUCAUUGUGGUAAAAGGUACAAGUCAAAGACUGGUCUUCUGCUGCAUCAAAGGAAGCAUUCUAAAAACUUCCCUUUCACUUGUCUUGUUUGUGGGAAAGGAUACUCAAACAAACGGGACUUCAACGAACAUUUACAUCGCCAUACUGGAACACCCGUGGCUACAUGUAAAAUAUGUGGAUUCAAAGCAAUGUCACAUAGUGGAUACAGAGGUCACAUGGAGAGGCACAAAGGAAGGGUAUCAAAGAAAGAUUUAAAGAUCGAUGAAAAAUAGAAUGAAAGAAUCUAUCAGAACAUGUCAUUUUAUCGAUCAUUUUGUAACAUAUUUAUUUUCUCGUUUCAUUUUUCUUAUUAACUGUUACCUUCUAUAUAUAUACUAUAUAUAUAUAUACAUGUAUGUCUGAACCACCAUACAAAUGUUAAGGAC
RNAcentral lists this long non-coding RNA (692 nucleotides) under Mytilus galloprovincialis (Mediterranean mussel). The record is from RNAcentral. Lineage: Eukaryota; Metazoa; Mollusca; Bivalvia; Mytilida; Mytilidae.